RNAcentral lists this long non-coding RNA (5929 nucleotides) under Pan troglodytes (chimpanzee). RNAcentral describes it as "long non-coding RNA NONPTRT017889". The record is from RNAcentral. Lineage: Eukaryota; Metazoa; Chordata; Mammalia; Primates; Hominidae.
GAUGGUCUCAAUCUCCUGACCUCAUGAUCUGCCCGCCUCGGCCUCCCAAACUGCUGGGAUUACAGGUGUGAGCCACUGCACCCGGCCUAUCUCUUUUUUUUCUUAGAAGUACAACAGUCCUAUUGGAUUAGGGCCCCAGUCUGUGACCUUAUUUAUUUCCGUAAAGGCCUUAUCUGCAAAUACAGUUGUAUUGGGACUUAGAACAAUAUAUGGAUUUGGGUUAGGGGGGACACAAUUCAGUUCAUUAUAUUCUGCCAUCUGGCCCCCCUCAAAUUUAUGUCUCUUCACUUCAAAAAUACAUUUACCCCAUCUCAACAGUUCUGAACAUCUCAAUUCAUUCCGGCAUCAACUCCAAGUUCAGAGUCUCAUCUAAAUAGCAUCCAACUCAGGUAUAGGGGAGACUUGAGGUAUGAUCCAUCCUGAGGCAUAAUUCCUCCCAGCUGUGAUGGGAUGGUACAGGCACAGGAUAGACAUUACCAUUCCAAAAGGGAGAAACCAGAAGAAAGAGCUUCUAAGCAAGUCCAAAACCUAGCCAGGCAAAUCCCAUUACAUCUUAAGGCUAGAGAAUCAUCCUCUUUGGCUCCACGCUCUGCCCUCCAGGCCCUCUAGGGUAGUGGCUUUGUCCCUGAGGGCUGUGGUCAGAGGCAGCUGGGUUUGCUGUAACUAAUAGAGGUGGCCCUACCCUGUGAAAUCAAGGAGUAGGCAGGCCUGCCCUGUGCUUAUAUACUCUGUCUUGGUGGCAGUGGCAGCACUGGGGGUCUCUAAAUUGCCCUUGGGAUCAUCCUUCCUUUUCUUGAAGGACAAAGAAUGUUUGCAUCCAGGUAGCUCUGCUGUCAGAAGUCCAAAAGCCUUACUUUAUUUUAUUCCAUGUCCAUCCCCUUUAGUGCAAGAUGCCAGUGUCUCUGCUGGUAUAAUCCCAUCUCUUGUCCUUGCUUCUGCUGAGAUGGCUGAUUAAGUCUAGGUAAUCUCUUUAGAGGGGGAGUGUCCAGCCACACCCUUGAUUUUUCUCUCUGUAACACUCUUAUUUUUUGCAAUAUGGAUAGCCUGAGAAUUUUCUGACUCUAGUUCCUGAUUCCUUGUUGCUUAACAAUUUCUUCUUUAAUUCGUCUUUUUCCUUUUGCAUUUUAAAGUAACCAGUAAGGAGAAACCAGGUUGUAUCUUCAACACUUCCCUUACGAAUCUCCUCUGCUAAAUAUCCAAGGUUGUCACUCACAAAGCCACUUCUCCAUUUCUAUGUAGUUGUUACGGUGACCCCUAUCUCAUGAUCCAAAUCUGUAUUUAGGGUUCUCCAGAAAAACAAGCAGUAGGAUUUUUUUUAUAUGUAGGAGAUUUAUUAAAAGGAAUUGGCUCAUGCAAGUAUGGAUUCUGGUGAGUCCAAAAUAUGCAGCGUGGGCCAGCAGCCUGGAAACAUGGGAGAGUUGAUGGUGCAGAUGAAAGCCAAAGGCAGUCUCUUGCUCAGGAAAGUCAGGGUUUUUGUUCUGCCCAGGUUUUUCAGCUAAUUGGAUGGGGCCCAUCCACAUUAUGGAGGGAACUGUGCUUACUGAGAGCUCACCAACUUAAAUGUUAAUCUCCAAAGAUUCAUUCCGGAUUGACACAUAAAAUUAACCAUCACUGGAGGUAAUGAUAAUAGUCUAGAUAAGACAGGCCAGCACCAAUAGAGGUUUAAAAAAAUCUGAGUGAAAAUGGGUAUUACAGACCAGAAAACAUAAUUGGAUGUGGGAGUAAGUGCAAAAUUACAAGCCUUUGGUUUUGCAAAGAUGGUGGUACCAUUUUUCUAAAAUGCCCAGGGCAGAAGACACUGCUCUUACUGAGAAUCAUUGCUCAGAAAGUGAUUCUCCACCUCGGCUACACGUAGAAUCAUCUGGAAGAUUUUAGGAAUCUCUGUGUCCAAGCUAUGCUGCAUACCAGUUAAAUCUAAAUUCUUGGCGUAAGGCCAGGCGUGGUGGCUCAAGUGUAUAAUACCAGCAUUUUAGGAGGCCAAGGCAGGCGGAUCACCUGAGGUGAGGUGAGUUUGAGACCAGCUUGGCCAACAUGGUGAAGCCCCGUCUCUACUGAAAAUACAGACAUUAGCCGGGUGUGGUGGCACAUGGCUGUAAAUCCCAGCUACUUGGGAGGCUGAGGUAGGAGAAUUGCUUGAGCCCAGGAGGUGAAGGUUGCAGUGAGCUGAGAUUGCAUCAUUGCACUCCAGCCUGCUGGGCGACAGAGUGAGACUCCGUCUCAAAAAUAAAUAAAUAAAUGAAACAAAUAAUAAAUACAUUCCGGAUGUGAGACCGGGCAUCAGUAUUUAAAAACCUCUCUAGGUGAUUCCAGAGUGUAACCAGCCUUGAGAACCACUAUUGAAAGAAGCAGAGUCAUGAGAAGCCUUUUAAAAAAAUUCUGCCCAACAAAAUCCUGGAGUACAUCAGCCCAAGUUUCAUUUCUGUGCUGCUUUCUUUUCCUAGCUGGCCUUGGUCGCACGGGCACUCUGAUAGCCUGCUACAUCAUGAAGCAUUACAGGAUGACAGCAGCCGAGACCAUUGCGUGGGUCAGGAUCUGCAGACCUGGCUCGGUGAUUGGGCCUCAGCAGCAGUUUUUGGUGAUGUAAGUAGUAGCCUACGUCUGUAGUUCCCAGGGAACAUGUGGGGUUGGCAUCUGAUGGGGAGUGGAAUUUCCUUUAGUUUCCAAUAACAACAGAUAAUCUGGUAGGAAGAAGUUGUUCAUGUAUCUUUCUGGAAAGCUCUAUUUUGAUGUUAUUUAAAUGCUCUAGGAAGCAAACAAACCUCUGGCUGGAAGGGGACUAUUUUCGUCAGAAGUUAAAGGGGCAGGAGAAUGGACAACACAGAGCAGCCUUCUCCAAACUUCUCUCUGGCGUUGAUGACAUUUCCAUAAAUGGGGUCGAGAAUCAAGAUCAGCAAGAACCCGAACCGUACAGUGAUGAUGACGAAAUCAAUGGAGUGACACAAGGUGAUAGACUUCGGGCCUUGAAAAGCAGAAGACAAUCCAAAACGAACGCUAUUCCUCUCACAUGUCCCCUAGCUGUGCUGACCUCUGCACUGUGUAGUGUUGUCAUCUGGUGGAUUGUUUGUGACUACAUUCUUCCCAUCCUGCUAUUCUGUCUCGAUGGUUUCAGAACACAGUAGCCAUCAGGACCCCCUGACAGAUAGCUGCUGUAAGUGUCCCGUUCUGUUUCUCUGCUGUUGCUUACUUCUGGUGCCUAGUGUGGUUCCCACAAUGCAUGUUUUUCUCCUUGUCAGCUCCUAGCUUUGUUGGUUUGCCUAUUUUCAAAGGUUCUUUUUCUGAAUCUUUUCAAUUAAUGGGAUGGUGGUGGGGAGGGAAGGUGGGCUUCACUGUUCCUCUCAUAGAAAGGAUAUUGAAAGUAACAUACGUUGUUUUAAAGUUAUGCUUAUCCUUAACAUAUUUCAAAAUAGCAGUUGAUAAAGACACUGAAACAGUUUUUCUUCACUGAAACAGUUUUUCUUCCCUAUCAAAAGUAGUUAGCUUAGGAUAAUUGGGGUGGUUUUAUUUUCGUCAGUUGGCUAUACAAUUUCCCUCUAGUUUUCUGUAUCUUGAGUAUGUCCUUCCCAAUCUAGCAAAGAAGCAUUUUUCCCACUGAUCUACUUUCAUUAAAUAUGUGAUUUUGUAGCCUCGAAAUCUGCCAUUGUACAGCAGCUCUCUCAUAAGUCUUCUCUCUUUAGUGUGCAGAAUUUCCUGCUCUGUCUCAUUUUUCUCCUCCCCUUUAGGGAAUACAGUAAGUACAGUGUGUAGCACUUGAUGCUAAAUGAAAGUAGGAGGUCGGAGCUGAGGUCGCCUGUUUAAGUUGGUGCAUUUCCAUAUGAUGGUCAUUGUUCCCGCUUUUCUCCUUGCCCAGACAUAGCCAGAAUGCCUUUAAUAGGCUAAUAGCAGCAAAUUUGUAUUCUCUUGAGAUCUUUCAUCUUUGAAAUGAAGACCUUAACAGCGAAGAGGCUUUAUUUCUGCAGAAGAAUGUACAAGAGGCCCACUUGUGGAACAGCAUGUUGAAGACCCCCAGAAGGCGGGUGUGUCCGUGUCACGGGGUCCACCGCCACCCUUCUGUGUCUGAGCUGCGUUCUUUCUUCUCUGAAGCUUUUUCCUUAACUCAUAUUUUAAGAAUUUCUUCUCUUGUCUCCUCUUGGACUUGGAAGUUAUGAAAGAAUGCAAAAGUUCCUUGCAAGAUCUCUUCCAAAGAAAAAUUCCAUUGCAGCCAACUCUGGUACUUUGUGGUUUCAUUGAGUAUUUUCACAUAGCUGAGAAAGAUUUAAAAAUCAAGCUGAUUUCACUCUUCAGAAUUAGGCAAAACCUGCUUAACUUGCUCCCAUUUAUGGCAUUUUCUUGAAUAUCUUACAAAUAAAAGCUUAUUGUCGCACAUUCAGACCUGCUGUAUUUCUGAGAUAGAUUAACCUUUUGGGUGUUUUCUUCUUUACUUCUCUUAGUCAACUACGAUUGCCACAUAUUCUGACUCAAGAGCAUCAUGCACUACAUAGAGUUAUUCUUCUCAAACUGUUCCAAGUGGCAAAGAUGUUCUGAAUGGGUGGAGCAGUUGCAAAUAAUGCUUAGGCACUUUGUGGUUGAAUGAUCAUUCCCAGGGUAAGUUUAAACAUGGUCUCUAUCAGGCUCUUUUCUUUUCAGUAUUCCAUGUAAACUAUACCUUCUGUUGUUACUGGUAAUGACGUUUGCCAUUGUAUUUCUAGACCCAAGCAGAGUAUUCAGUUCAGCCUGACUAAUUAUUUGGAAUUUUGAGAAGCAAAAAGCUUGUGACAGUUACAGUGGUGUUCAUCAGUAUCAUCUUUGUAGCACCCCCAUGUCUUUCUCUCAAAAGGGUUUUAUUUGUAAGGUGGUGACUCCUGAGCUCCACCAUCCUCUGUCAUCACCACCCACCUCUGCUGGCAGUGGACGCAGGUGGCGUGGCAUCGUCUGAUAAGUUGUUUCCAGUGAAAAGCUCCUGUUAUGCGGCAUGCCUGGAGAAUUAGGCCAUAACAACACUUCAGGCUUCUGAGUCAGACUCAGAGAUAGUGGGAAAGCCUUCUCUGGAGGCUGCAGGGCCUCAGGGUCACCUUUGUGCACGCUCUUGUGGUGUCCGGAGUGGACAGCCAGUAUACAUAGUGCAUAGUUGCCCUGAUGGAUUUUUUUCUUGGAAUUGGACAUUUAUGUUCGAGACCUGGCUUUUUAGUUUUUGGCUUUGCCGUGUUCCUUGGGUUGCAGAUUUCACUAUAUCUGAAAUCUCAGAGUACCGAGGCUCCAAGGAUGCUGCAGAGAAGAAGGUGAACUGGAAUAUAGGCAAGAGGUAGGUAGGAUGGAGGAUUUUGUCAGGGGAGAUGGGAAGGAAGAAAAUACAUCUGCUGCACACUGCUCUGCAAAGCCAUGCUUGGCCUGGGUUGGAAGGCAGAAGGCCGCGAGUGCCCGGGUUCCCUGUGACAGAGGCAACACGUCACCCUCUGGUGCCUGUCAGGUGGUGUGUGCUGUCACUCAUGAUAGCUCAGUGGAGUUCUCCCCCAACCCCGACUUCAUCAGUGCAUAACCUGCAGUUAGGAUAAAUACCGUGUUGUCAGUGCAAAUAACUGGAAUCUUCCGUGGUGUGGUUAAUACACUCAAGUUCUAUCAUUCUCUUGGUUUUAAAGUUCCACAGAAAUUACUAGCUAUUUAAUAUUAUUAUUAUAUUAGUUCACUUUAAUUUACACUAAUUUUAUAGAGAAAUAAAUACUUUUAAAAAGAUGUUUUCCAGCAGCCUGAGAAUGACUGCAGGAUUUAGCAGUAGUGUCUUGUUUUGAAUGGCAUUUAAACACUUCAGUCAUAGUUUUAAUUUGAGAAAUCAGGAUUCAGAUUUCCUAAGCAGGCAGUGUAUCAGCUCUUGUUUUUUUCUCAGAUUAAUUAUUUUGCAGUGUGAUUGUUGUCUGUACUUUUGGCCAACCGUGGCCUGAAAUUAUUUGAGAAUUAG